CUAUUUAGUGUGGGCUAGUAACCACAAGCCAUCCCACCAUCAGAAUGGGAAGACAACAUAAGAGUAGCCUCUUCUGCUGAAAAGUGAUUUUCUUCUGGGGAUGCUGUUUGCUCUGCCCGUUGCACUGCUGAUGGCACCGUUCCUCCCUCUCCCUGUGAGCACAUCUUCCACGUGAGGGGUCUCUGACCUGGCAGAAGAUCUGAUGCUCCCCUAACACUGCCUCUGCAUAUCCUGCGGUCUGUGACGCUGUGUGAGGCAGCAGAGAUCCUGGCCUGCUUGUACCAAAACAUUCAAAAGGUUUGUCUGGGUUAUCUGAAGGUGUUAAUCCAAGAGGGACAGUCAGGGCAUACAAGAGGACCUGCAGACCCCAGGCUUUCCAAAGCAAAUGAAGAUUUGAGCCUAUCCCAACAUGUGAGUUUAAUACCAUGGAGGUAACAAUCCCGAAGGAUUCAUCUGACUGUUCCUUAGCAUCCCGUCAGCAAGCCCUAAUUAGAUGUUGAGCAGGAUCCUAGGAAGAGUGGAGACAAAAAAACCUUCCCUGUGCAGCAAGAAGGAGGCACCAGAUGAGACAAGCCAGCUCCUCCACUUUUGCCAAGCUGCUGCUUUGUGCGGCUCCUUUAGUCCAGGCUGCACUUGACAGCGAAGACAAGAGACAAAACCCAGCUGUUCUCUGCGAGACCAAAGCAAAAUGGCACACAGCGAGGCUGGAUGAGAGCAUCGGGAGCUGCAGGUGCGGAGGCUCUGCUACAACCAGCGUGAUUUCUGGUGGUACCAGCAGCAGGUUGCAUUUAUUUCUGUCCACAUCACAUGCAUUUCUCUGCCCCCAUGCCCAGCCUGGCCUGCGGGGAAGGGUAUUUCAUAAUUCCUGGCCGUGGUGUCACCUGGCUGUGAUGACACUGCGAGGCACAGAGCAGCAAGAGUGAAACCAGGGAGCGUCUCUGAAAGGCAGGAAGGGAGCAGGCUGCGCUAGGAGCUCUGUCAGCUGAUUUCUCCCACAGCAGCGUGGGCUUGGCUGCCAAAAAAGUGUCGCAACAGACGAGGAGAGGGAGAUGUGCAUCUCCCACUAGAGAUGGGAGCAGGGGGCUGUGGAAAAGAGCUGGGAAUGUGAAACAUCCUGCAAAAGGGAUUUUUUUUUGUUACGCCAAUGAAUUAGGUGCAGUUUUGUAUUGGCAGGUGCUUGACAGUAGCUAGCAUUAGAUCUAAAUUCUCUUAAAAAUUAGGUUCAAUAGGGUCAGGGCACACAUGCUAAGAAUUUCUAAAGCUUUAGGCUUUUCAGAUCAGAGAAUUUGCAUUGGGAUUCCCAGCUAAAAGCUGUCAUCUUCAUUAGAGGGAGUGCUGGGCACAUAGGAUACAAGUCAGGACAUGGGUUAGCCACAUCCUCGAGGCUCUCCUGGUUAUCAGGGAGUGGGGUGGGCUGACCUAACCAGUGCAGGCCAGAGCUGCAGUGUCAUUUAAGACAGGUAGUGGUAAAAAACCUCCUUCUGCUGGAAAUCAGAGGGGAGACUCAAGGUGGCCAGCGCAGGGAGGGCAGAGCAAGAUGGAAAAUUUGCAGCGUGCAGGGGUUUCUGAGUGAACAAGCAGGUAUGGGGACAGCAUCGAUAGGUGUGGUAUGGGCAAGCUGGAAGCGAGGAGAUAAAGGUAGUUUGACAUCUCUAAAUCCAAGUAGACAACAAUUUGAAUCCAUCCUAAACCUUAACUAAAAGCUGGAAAGUAGGGAGUGAAGGAUGAUGCAACCUUUCAGGUCCCCUGAAAGGGGGACGUAUGAGGGUCUCCAAGCAGUGGUGCACCCUCAAGGUGCGGGUUGAGCUUCCAUUACUACAUAAACAGUUAAACAUGCAGGCAGAGCAGAAACUGCAAGAGCAGGGUGAACCAGGGAGGCUCACACUUCUUGUGGCUGCGGAGAAGCACCAGGCUCCUUGGCAGCCCCUCCAGCUUCAAACCACUUGGCCCCAAUUCCCUCCUCCCUGCUGGUUCCCCAAAGAGGAGUGCCACCAAAACCACCGCCGGGAGGACCAGCUCCGUGGAGCCCGUUGCCUCACCUUGGAGGAAUGCAUUCACUUCAUAACCAAGAUAAACGGCCUGCUGUUUAACUGGAGCUUGUGCUGCAAACACCAAGCUCUUGCUUCGGGACGAGUGCUUGGCAUGCCUCCUGCUUCCCUGCUGCCUGCCGGGCGGGACUGGUGCCUCGCUCCUGCCGAAGCAGGGUCUGCUCUGCCGAGGGUGGAUUUAUUAUUGGUGACUGGCCUCUGCUGUUGGCUCGAUGAUUUCUGCUCUGAUCUCAGAGGAUAACUCUCUCCUAGCCUGGUCUCUGAGGGAACUCGCAUUCCUUUCUUAUCUCCCACCAGCAUGAGUUAUGCUCUCAGAAAUUAGUCCUUAUUUAUUAGCGUAGCCCAGCCAAAAGCCAUCUCCAGGAUUUUCAGUUGCAUGUGCAAACAAAAUCCACCUCCCUUUUCUUGCUCCCCUGGAGAGAUUCAUUAGGAAUAACCUCACCUUUCGGGGAAUCAGAUGUUCCUUCAAGGAUGUUGACUUCCACGGGGUUUGGAGGCAGUGUCCCAGGGAAACAUUGAGGUUAGUGCGUUCAGCUCAUCUGUUUUCACUUAAAGCAAGAGACCCUGGAGAGCUGCAAAAUAAACACAAGGGCCCUGAUUUCUCCUUUCAGCUGUAAACUGAGGUACCAAAGCGAGGAUCCUAGUCACUCUGCGCUUUUUUUUUUUUCUCCAGAUUCAAAACAAUCUGGAAAAAUGUACAACCCGGUGCUGCUCGUGGUGCUUCCUCAGCUGAGGAGAGGAGCCUGGAGCCCGAGCGCAGCCGCCCAGCGAAGCAUCUGCCUCGUCCCUGUGCGCAGGAGUGAGACAGACGUGAAGCCGUAAUAAAGCUGAUGGAAGACCCAGCUGGACAAGGACAACUUUGGCUUGGGUUGAAAGUCGGAGGAAGCCUCUGAGCUGCUGAUGCACAGAGAGCUGUUUUCCUCUCCAGACCUCCUGAAGUGCCUGCGCUGCAGGGCAGGGUCUGACCACGGACAGGUUCCCCGCGGUUCUGCUGGGCUUGGACAGUGCAAAACUCCCCCGUAUCUGCUGGAAGCCCUUUCCCCUUGCUUAAACCUCUGCUGCAUGUAAGCGCACAGGCCUUCGAGAUCAUGCUGAGCUUUCACAGAUGGGCUGGGAAGAGCCAGCACUGGGAAGUUAAAGGCAGUCAAAGUGGAGUUAGAGCAGGAAGAGUUGUCUCAACAGGGAGGGGGUUGUCAGCCUCAGGAACCGUGCCAGCGUGAUGCUGGGUAGUGGUGUUCUUCAGAAACAUCCCACCAGGUCUGCAUGCAAAAACUGUGCUGGUUUCCUUUGUAAAGGAUGCACUGAUGAUGUUUAGAUGAUGCAUAUAAUUGCCCUGAAAGCGCAGUCAGUCCAGCUGGCAGAGCGGUUGCAGAAGAUGUAAAACAUUUUUAAUAAAAACAAGACCCUCCUCGGAUUUGGACUCGAUCGCUGAGAUGGGAGGCCAGCGCCUUGCACGCUCAUUAACUUCUGCUGUUCGGGAGGUAUCACCAAAACCACACGUGGGCUGCUCAUCUCAGACACCCAGCCCUCAGGCUCCUCGCAGGGAUCCCGGUGCUUGUACCAGGACCAGGAGAAGGAUUUGCUGCCGGUGAAGGCUGUAGCAGCUCCCAGGCUAGAAAAAAGGAGCCAACACAGUGGGAUCAGAGAAGUUUAGCAGCAGCCCAACCACUGUCCUCAGUGCUCUAAAGACACACCAGGAGGACCCCCACUGAAAUAGGAAUUGAGAAAUUUCCCACCGUUGGUUUCAUCUUUAGAUUCAGAAGUUUGGAGUUUGCCACAGAAGGGAACAUUACCCAGAGGGAACAUUUCCUUCUGCCUUUACCCAUAAGGAAGGGUCGGGGAGAGGAUUAGGGGCACCCCAGAAGGUGCUGACCGUCCUGAAGCACACUGCCUCCAGAAUCCCGAGAAGCUGUUUUCAUGGGAUUGAAGCAUGCCUGCAAAAUGCUGCCUGGCCAAACUCUAUUCAGCUGGAAAAACACUGCCAAGCUCUUGCCUCGAGUUAUCUCCAUAGACCUCAUACCAAGUCGCGUUUAUUCACUCCCUUUUCCGAUGGCCUCCACUUCCCCAUCUCGAGGCAUUCACAAAUCACAAUUUGCUUCUCCAGCAUCAGCGCCGGGCUACAGGUCAGCAAGGACUUUCUUUUUAAUUCCAUUUUCAUUGCUCCCGUUUGUUUUGCAUUUUUAUCCACCCUUGGGCGUCUUUCAGCUUUUCACAGAGCCUGAGAAGCAGAAAGAUGUUUUUUUCUUUAGCACUUCAGAUGCUAAUAAAAUUAUUCAGCCCUGGCACAUGAAAUCAAGCCAGCGUUUGAUGUCUGUAGGCUCCCGGUGAAUUUAUCCGUGCUGCAGCAGGGCUGGAUGUGCAGGGUUGUAGGACAGCAGCACCACGGUGCUGAUACCCGAGGACCACGCAGCGUGUGAGCCCCCUACCCCUGUCUGGGCAGCGGAGGGACCCCACGGGACCUCUGUGCUCCAGUCCCUGUCUGCCGUGCUAUUUCUGUUCCUCCUGGUGCCCAGGGGGAGCAGCCCUAUCCUUUUCCAGCAUCCCCAGAGGACUUUGCCGAGGGAUGGGGAGGCAUUUCUCUGCUUGUCCGGGCUCAUCUGCAGCUCCCGUCUGACUUUCUCACGGGAAGAGCUGACCUGGCCCCUCCGAAUAAUCCCAAGCCUCCCAGUUGCCCCCUGCCUGCCUCUGUUUGUGCAUUUGCAGUCUCCUGACAUCUCUUCCCCCCCGGCAAAGGCUGGCCCUGGCUGAACCCCACAGCUCCGAGGUUGGGAGAGGGCACCGUGGUGCCCUGCUGGAGGCUGGGUGACCCCACAUCACGUCUGCCAGCCUGGGGACACCUCUACUUCUUCCCUCUCCCCCUUAAAAAACAUUUUCCUUGGAGGAAUCUGAAGGCAAACCAGACAAGCUGGUGCAUCUAUUCAGUGACAACCGGGGAGGAUCGCUUUCUGCUGAGCGUGGUGUGCUUUGACGGGUUUAUUCAGCUCUCAGUUGGGUAAAUCCAUGCCAAAAGAGCAGGGCCCAGCUGUGCUGCUGCUGGGUUUUAUCAGCACCAAAGGGGCACGUCCCCUCUGCAGGGCUAGCUUCCUUUUUGGGAUUUUCGCUGGGAAAAGCCAACGCUCACACCCACAAAUAGCACAGAGCAUCACUGCCCGUGUGGGCAGCGCAGCACCAGGAAAGGCAACAAGCAGAGACUGAGCUCCUCGU
Anas platyrhynchos (mallard) is the source of this 5252-nucleotide non-coding RNA. NCBI's taxonomy places the organism in Eukaryota, Metazoa, Chordata, Aves, Anseriformes, Anatidae. The record is from RefSeq and is a predicted model, not a curated record.